CAAAACACAGCCAGAAAACCAGUCUUUGAAUUUUCGAAAAAAAAAAAAAACCCCAUUUCUACUUUCAUUUCAAUCACCUCCCAAAAUCAUAGAAAAAAGAAAAACAUGAGUUCUUCAACAAGAGCUUGGAUAGCAGCUGCUAGCAUCGGAGCUGUUGAGGCAUUGAAAGAUCAAGGAAUUUGUAGAUGGAAUUAUGGUCUAAGGUCAAUACAACAGCAUGUCAAGAACAAUAUCAGAUCAUCUUCUCAAGCUAAGAAGGUUUCUGUUCCAUCUUCUUCUGCUUUGGCUAAGAAACUGAGAGAUGAUGAGAAGUUGAAGAAGUCAGAGGAAGCACUUAGAACUGUCAUGUAUUUGAGCUGUUGGGGUCCAAAUUAAGCUGCCCCUUCGUUUUUUGUACAUAUGUAAUGCUAAUUUUGCAUCAGUUAUAUUAAUUGAACUAUCAAAAAUAUGUUCAAAAGUUGAGUUUGAUAUUAGAAACUUUUGGGGGUAAAUUUAUAUAUUGAACUUUUUGUCUCUGAUGAUCAUGAAUCUUACACUCCGUUUACUGAGACAAAAAAAAAAAAGGAAGAGAAAAAGAAAAUACUAUAAUAAAAAAAAUUAGCUAUUCUUAUCAGAAACUUUCUAAAUUAAAUUGAAUAAAUUGAGGUGAAAAUCACACGAUGCUUUCUUCAGCCUUUAACCUCAACCUCCAAAUUCAAAUGCAAUGAACAGAGUAAAUGCAAAAGGCUCGUUUGUUUAGCCGAAAUUAAAUUUUAGAAAAUAAAUAAUAUUAAUAUAAUUGUUAAAAUUAUUUAUUAUUAAAAUUAUUAAUAUUCAAAAAUAAUUAUAUUUUAAUAAUAUUUAAUAUUUAAAUAUUAUAUUUAUAUAAAAAUACUUAAAAUAAUAAUAUUUAUUAUUCUUUAUAGCAUUAUCUUAAAAUAUUUAAAAUAAUAUUAUUAUUCUUAAAAUAUUAUUUUUAUUAAUAUGAAAAUUAAUAAUAUUUAUUAUUAAAAUAUUUGUACUAUUAAAUAUUUAUAUUUUAUAUUAAAAGUAUCUAUCAUUAAGUCAUAAUAAAAAAUUGUUUAUUUAUAUUUAUUAUUAAAAUAAUAAUAUAAAUACCUUAAUAAAUAAAAUAUAAAAUUAUAUAUUUUAAACUAAAAAAAUAAAAAAAUCAUUAAAAAUAUUAAGAAAAUUUUUUUAUUAUAUUCGUUAAUAUUAAUUAUUAAAAUAAUAAUUUUUUAUUUUUAUUUUUUAUUGUUAAAAUAAUAAUAUAAUAUUAUUUAUUAUUGAAAUAUUAAAAAUAUUUAUUUUUAAUAAUAUAUAAAAUUAUUAUUGUGAAUAUUUUAAUUUUUUAAUUAAAAUUAAAUAAAAAUAUUUUUAUUAAUAUAAUAAUAUUUUAAGACCAAUCAAAUCAAGAUCCAUCUUAAAAUAUUAUGUUAAAAGUUACUUAAGUAAAUUUAUAAAAAUAUUUAAAAUUAAAACAUUAAAAUAUUUUUAACAUUAAUUUUUAAAUUUUUUAGGAAAAUUUAAAUAAAAAUUAUUAUCUAAUAUAUAUAUAUAUAUUAUAACAACAUAUAUAAAUAAAUUGCAUAUUAUGUGAACAACUCUUUUAAAUGAUACAUAUAAUGGUUUUUUUAAAUAAAAUAAUUUUUUUAAUUACAAAAUAAUUUUAAAUUUAUUUAAAUAUAAAAGUUAUUCAAAUUAUAAUUAAAAUCAAAUCAAUUUAGAGAUAUAUAUUCUAAAAUUAAAAAUAUGAAAUAUGGAUUUUAUUUUUUUAAUAAAUAAUUUUAGAUGUUUACCAAAAUAACCUUAUUUAAAAAAUUAUUUAAUUAUCAAAAUCUUUCAAAUAUGUUUAAAAAUUACAAAAAUUAAGUUUAUCCAAAACUUUCAAUAAAUUUUUUUAUCUUGAUUUUAAAAAUUUUAUUGUUUAAAAAAUUUACGUAAGAUAUUAAAAUUUUAAGCAAUUUUAUUUAAGAUUUUAAAAUUUUAAAAAAUUUUCCUCUUAAAUCUUUAAAUAAUAAGAUUAUCAAAAUUAUUAUAUUCAUUUGAAUUAUAAUUAUCAAAUUUAUAUUUCAAAUAAAUACAAAAAAUUUAAUAUUAUCUUUAUCACUUAUUAUAUCCAUUUUAAAUUUUAAAAAAUUAAUUUAAAAAUCAUCUAUUUAAUCCUAAUUGUCACUAAAAAAUUAUUUUACAAAUUUAAGACUACAAAUGUGUUAUACAUCAAUUUUUUUUUAUUUUUCAGUAAUUUUUUAAAGAUAUUUCUAUUACUAUUGUAAUUUUUUUGUUUCGAAAAUUUUUUUUAAAUAUAUUUUAUUGUUAUUACAGUUUCAUUCUUAUAAAAAGUAAUAUUUUUUUCAAUUUAUUUUUUUAACAUAUUUUCUAAUAUUUUUCAUAUUUUGUAUAAUAAUUUAGUCAAAAUUAUUAAAGUAAAAAUAUGUUAAUAUUUUUUAUUAUUUAAUUUAUCAUUUAAUAAUAUAUAUUUAUUUUUUAGAAAAGAUAAUUUAUUUUUAUUUAAUAUAAUUUUUCAGGAGUAUAAAUAUUAUUAUAAACAAAAAUAUACAAAGGAAAGACAUAAAUUUUUUUUACUAUUUUUAAAAAAAUUAUUUUUUAAUGACAAAUUAUUAUAUAUAAAUUUUAUAUAUGUGAUGAGUUUUAAAAAUUUAAAUAUAAUUUAAAAAAAUUUAAUUUAUAAUUAUUCAUAUUAAAUAAAUAAAAUUAUUUCGUGCAUCACACGAAUUAUAAUCUAAUUUAUUAAUAUAAUAAUAUUUUAGGUCAAGUUAAGUUUAAACUUAAAAUAAUUAUAUAUAAAAUUUGAUUUGAGUAAAAUUAUAUUCAAAUAUAUUAAUAAGUAAUUUUACUCAUAAAUAAUUUUUUAAAAUUAUCUUCUUUUUUUACUCAAAAUGAUAAGAUAAUUUUCAAAAAUAUUAUUUUAUUUUAUGUUUGACUAGAAAAUCAUUUUUAGUUAACUAAUUUUUUUUGACAAAUAAACCCAAAAAAAUAAAAAUAUUAUUUUUCGAAAGGUUUUUUUUUCUUCGAAACAUAGAGAGUUUGUCCAUUUCUUUACUAUUAUUGUCUCCAUCGUAGGAUGUACAGUUAAACCAUUUAUUUUAUUAUAAUACCACUAGCCUAUAGUACUUAUUGAAACCAUUGGCUUUUUUCCUUUUGCUUUGGCAAUACCGUCUCUGGUUUUUUCCCAACGCUUUCCUCUAUAUAAGAAACUCUUACCCACCCACCAUUUUCUUCUACAAAGCAAAAUACAGCCAGAAAAUCAGUCUUUGAAUUCCGAAAGCAGCCCAUCGGCACUUUCAUUUCAAUCACCUCCCAAAAGCGUAGAAAAAAGAAAAACAUGAGUUCUUCAACAAGAGCUUGGAUAGCAGCUGCUAGCAUUGGAGCUGUUGAGGCACUAAAAGAUCAAGGAAUUUGUAGAUGGAAUUAUGGUCUAAGGUCAAUUCAACAGCAUGUCAAGAACAAUAUCAGAUCAUCUUCUCAAGCUAAGAAAGUUUAUGUUCCAUCUUCUUCUGCUUUGGCUAAGAAACUGAGAGAUGAUGAGAAGUUGAAGAAGUCAGAGGAAGCACUUAGAACUGUCAUGUAUUUGAGCUGUUGGGGUCCAAAUUAAGCUGCCACCUUGUUUUUUGUACAUAUGUAAUGCUAAUUUUGCAUCAAUUAUAUUACUUGAACUAUCAAAAAUAUGUUCAAAAGUUUAGUUUGAUAUUAGAAAAUUUUGGGGCUAAAUUUUAUAUACUGAACUCUUUGUCUGUGAUGAUCAUGAAUUAGAGUCUUACACUAUAUUUGGUGAGGAAAAAAAAAGAAGAAAAGGAAAAUACUAUAAUAAAAAAAUAGCUAUUCUUAUCAGAAACAUUCUAAAUUAAAUUGAAUAAAUUGAGGUGAAAAUCACAUGGAAGCUUUCUUUAGUCUUUAACCUCAGCCUCCAAAAUCAAAUGCUAUGAACAAAGUAAAGGCAAAUCACAAGUUUGUUGGCUUUACAAAAUAAUAAAUGGUUUUUAAGUCCAAAAUAAAGGGCCUCUAACUUUUCCAAAACUAUUGGCAGACACCAACCAGCCAAUGGUUUUAUACGCUUUCAUGUUAUAUAUUAAAAAAUAUGUAUAUUUAGUCACAAACCCUAUUAUAAAUGGGACCAGUCCCAUAUCAUCAGCACCAUUAUUAAUUCGUAAAAGAAAAAGGAAAAGAAAAGGAAAAGAAAAAGAAAAGAAAAUCUCUCUCUUUGUUUGCCACAAUCCUACUUUCAAAGAUAAAAAUAUUUUCUUGAUCAAGAUUUACAAGAAAACAAUAAGUGCAACAAGGAAAGCAUGGAUUGUGGCAGCUACAAUUUAUGGAGUGGAGGUAUUGAAGGAUCAAGGAAUUUGCAGAUGGAAUUAUGUCCUCAGGCAUGCCAAGAAAAACCUUAGGUCAUUUACCGAGGCCAAGGUUCAUUCCUUUCCAUAUCUGCCGGCCCUGGCGGCGGCUUCCGCUAAGAUGAGGGAGGAGGUGAAGAAACCCGACAAGUCCAUCAAAAAAGUGAUGGAAUUGAAUUCCUGGGUCCUAGUACAGUUAGAUUUUAAUGUAAUUUUUGUUAGAAAAAUGGGUUCAGUUUCGUGUAAGUGAUUUUGGAUUAAGUAAAGGUAAUAGGUCUUAAUCUUUUAUUUUACACAGAAUUUUAGAUACUUAAUAAAAAAGAGGUGGUGUUGUUUUAAGUGGGUGUCAAAAACUAAGUAAAAAAAAGAAAAAAAGCUAAAAAAAGUGAAGAGAAAAAAAAAGAAAAGAGAGUUGAUUGAACGGAAGUUGAUCCGUGGUUCGAUUGAAUUAAAAUCUUGUCAGGAGGUUUAUGAUUCAGAGUUUUACAUUCUGAACGGUGAAGAUCGGGUUUGAAGCUCUCUACAAAUAAAUCUAGAGUAUAUUUGUUGAGUCAUUUAUUUAGUGAGAUUUCUCCAAUUAUUUCUUUAGUUGUUGUUUAGCUCUAGUUUUAGCUAGAAAAGAGCUUUGUAUACCUAUUAUUUGAUAGUGAAGAUUUUUCUGGUGGUCCGUGAUUUUUUUCCUCUACACUAGAGGGUUUUUUACGUAAAUCUUGGUGUGCUUUAUUUUUCUGCAUUUUUUAUUAUUGAUUAUUAUCUAUUACUUCUGUAUUAUUGUGAUUAUUGCUUCAGGCACAACAAGUGAUAUCAAAAUGAAGGUUAUUUUGAGACAUCGAUACAAAAACAGUCCAAGAUAUAAGUAAAUUUUGUUUGAGAUCAUGAAGGGUGAUACAUGUUCCAUGAUAAAAUUGACAGCAUCGAAUUAUUUAAUUUGGAAGCUAUGAUGAAGGAUCAUCUAUACUGUAAAAAUUUAUAUGAGCCAAUAUUAGGUUAUUCGACUAAACCAGCAGAUAUGAAAAAUAAAAGCUGAAAUAAGCUAGGUAGAAAGACGCUGGCUACAAUCAAAAAAUGGAUUGAUAUCAGCGUGUUCUAUCAUGUAGCGCAUAAGUCAGAUGCUCACAUUGUUUGAAAAAAUUUGACAGUAUUGUAUGAGAGAAAAACAUGUAUGAAUAAAGUUAUGCUUGUUAAAAAGCUUGUAACUUUACAGUACAGAGAUGGAUGAUCUGUUACAAAGCACUUGAGUGAUUUUUAAUAUAUAUUUAAUCAGAUGACUACUAUGGAGCUUAAGAUGAAUGAUGAAAUGAAGGUAUUAUUUUUUUUGAAUUUAUUGUCAGACAGCUGGAAUACUCUAAUUAUGAUUCUUCUUAAUUCAACUCCUGAUUAUAAGGUGACAUUGGAGAUGGUAAAUGACAGUAUGCUUAAUGAAGAAGCAAGGCGAAAAGAUGUAGACCCUAAGAAUCAAGCUCUGGUCACAAAAAACCGGGAUAGAAACAUCGAUAAAGGUCAUGACUCAAAAGGUCGUGGUAAGUCUAAACAUAGAUCCAAGUCUAGAGGUAAAGUGAAGUGUUUCUAUUGUGGUAAGAUAGGUCAUAUAAAACGAAACUAUAAAAUCUUAAAGCAAGAGCGAAAAGAUGAGAAAGGUAAGAGUUCAGAUGAUGGUAAUGUUGCAGUAGUGAAUUCAGAUAGUGCUUCAGUUACUUUGAUUUGUACACAUGGUGAUUGUAAUCAUAUUAGUGAUCUCGACAUUGAGUGGAUAGUUGACACAAGAGCGACAUAUCAUUGUGUUUCUAAGAUAGAGUUAUUUACAACUUACAAAGUAAGAGACUUUGAUUGUACCAAAAUGGAAAAUAAGAGUGUAACACAGAUUAUUGGGAUUGGUGAUAUUAUUGUACUAACUAGUACAGGCUGCAUGUUGACUUUGAGGGAUAUCAAACACAUUUCAGAUAUGAGAAUGAACUUGCUUGCUAUUAAUAUCUUUGAUAAGGAAAGAUAUGAAAGUCGACAAAAGAAUGGACAGUGGAAGCUUCUCAAAGGAUCUAUGGUAGUUGCAAGGAAAAAAUUAUGCUACACAAUGUAUAAGACAUAAAUGCAAUUGAAUGGUAACUAGGUAAAUGUCGUUGAAAAUGAUGCUUCAGCAAACUUGUGGCACAGGAGGCUGGCACACAUGAGUGAAAAAGGGUUACAGGUUUUGGCAAGACAGUCUCUUAUUCCCUUGACCAAAGGUAUGUCUCUCGAUUCAUGUGAUUAUUGUUUGUUUGGUAAGCAUCAUAGAGUUUUUUUUCGUAAAAGUUCUUAGAGAACAGAAAAUAGAUUGGAAUUAAUUUAUUCUAACGUAUGUGGUCUCAUUGAGGUUGGGUCAUUAGUUGGUAGCAGUUAUUUUGUUACUUUUAUUGAUAAUGCUUCACAUAAGACUUAGGUGUAUAUGUUAAAAUAAAAAAGUCAGGUACUGCAGUAUUUUUAAAAAUUUCAUGCCAUGAUUGAAAGGAUGACAGGGUUACCCUUGAAGUAUAUUCUAAAGGCUUUGAAGAGUAUUGUUCAAAGCAUGAGAUCAGACAUGAGAUGACAGAACCUAAAACAUCGCAACAUAAUGGUAUAGCUGAAAAAAUGAAUCAUACCAUUGUGAAAAAUGUCAGAUGUAUGUUGAGGAUGACAAAAUUACCAAAGCCAUUCUAGGGUAAAGCAGUUAACACGGCUUGUUAUUUACUUAACAGAUCAUUAUCAGUUCCUUUGGGCUUUGACAUUCCAAAAAGAGUGUGGACAGAAAAAUAUACUUCAUACUCUCACUUGAAAGUUUUUGGGUGUAAGCAUUUAUGCAUGUGCCGAAAGAGCAGAGAUCAAAGCUUGACAGUAAAGUCACACAGUGUGUGUUUGUAAGAUAUGAUGAUGAGAAAUUUGGUUACAGGGUAUGAGAUCCAGUAAAGAAAAAGAUAAUCAGAAGUAAAGAUGUGAUCUUUCAUGAAAAAAAAACCAUAGCAGACUUUGAGAAAAUGAGAAAACUACACGGGUUACUACUGAGUGUGAUGUUUCAACACCGACAGAGAUUCCACAGGAAAGAGCCAUAGAUGAUGGAAAUGAGUAAGAAACAGAACUUAAGAAUAUGAAUGAGCCAGCCACAGUUGGUGAUGUGCCAAAUGCAAUUAGUUUUGAGCAGGGAGAGCAAUCAUCUCUACCUGAAAGUGUUGAGCAGAGGGAGCUACCUUUGGCGUCAAGUGAUGUAGAGUCUCAGCCCAGGAGAUCUACUAGAGAGCGCAAGCCAUCUAUCAGGUAUCCAAGUUCAGAUUUUAUUUUAGUUACCAGUGAAAGUGAGCCAGAAAACUUUUAAGAUGUGCAAGCUACUCUGGAUAGAGAGCACUGGUUAAAAGUAAUGAAAGAAGAGAUGGAGUUAUUACGAAAAAAUGGUACUUAUGAUCUUGUUAAACUUUCAACAGAGAAGAGGCCAUUAAAAUAUAAAUGGGUGUUCAAGUUGAAAAAGGAUGGUGACAAACUAGUGAGGUACAAAGCUCGAUUGAUAGUAAAAGAUUUUUCUUAAAAACCAGGUAUCGAUUUUGAUGAAAUUUUUGCUACAGUUGUAAAGAUGAGUUCUAUUCGAGUGGUACUGAGAUUAGCAGCUAGUUUGAAUCUUGAGCUUGAGCAACUUGAUAUUAAAAUUGCAUUUUUGCAUGGUGAUUUGUAGGAGGACAUUUAUAUGAAUCAGCCUGAGAGUUUUGAAGUGAAAGAGAAAGAACACUUAGUUUACAAAUUGAAGAAAAGCUUGUACGACUUAAAACAAGCUCUGCGACAAUGGUAUAAUAAGUUUGAUUCUUUUAUGGUGAGUACAGCAGUGGAUUCUUGUGUGUAUGUUAAACAAUUUCCUAAUAGUAACUUCAUUAUCCUAUUAUUAUAUGUUGAUGAUAUGUUGAUUGUAGGACAAGAUGCUAGUAUGAUUUACAGGUUGAAAGAAUAAUUGUCUAAGUUUUUUUAUAUGAAGGAUUUAGGUCCAGCAAAGCAGGUUCUUGGUAUGAACAUUAUCCGAGAUAAGAGAGCUAAAAAACUAUGGUUGUCCGGGAUAUGAGAGCUAGAAAACUGUGAUUAUCAUAAGAAAAGUAUGUUGAACGAGUGCUUGGUAGAUUCAACAUGUAACAUGCUAAAUCAAUUAGCAGUCCACUGGCCAACCAUUUUCAUAUAAGUAAAAAAUCUUGUCCAGUGUCAAAGAAGAGCAACUAGCUAUGUCUAGUAUUCCUUAUUCUUUUGCAGUCAAUUUUUUAAUGUAUCUUAUGGUUUGUACAAGGUCUGACAUUGCUCAUGCAGUUGGUGUAGUGAGCAAAUUUCUUUCUAAUCCAAAAAAAGCUCACUGGAAAGCAGUGAAAUAAAUUUUUAGAUAUUUGAGGGGUACCUCAAAAAUGUGCUUGACUUAUGAAGUUUCACAACCAGUUCUAGAAAGGUUUACUGAUGCUAACAUGGCAGGCGAUCUUGAUGGUAAAAAAUCUACUUCAGGGUAUUUGUUUACUUUUGUAGGAAGAGCUGUAUCUUGGUAAUCUAAGUUAUAGAAGUGUGUUGCUUUGUCAACUACAGAGGCUGAGUAUAUUACAACAAUCGAAGCAUGUAAAGAAAUGCUUUGGAUGAAAUAUUUUCUUCUUGAAUUGAAGUUGAAUUAGAAAAAGUAUGUGGUAUUUUAUAAUAGUCAAAGUGCUUUAGAUUUGAGUAAGAAUACCAUGUACCAAGCUAAAACAAAGCACAUUGAUGUUAGAUAUCAUUGGUUACGUUCAAUGAUUGAAGAAUAGCAGAUGCUAUUGAAGAAAGUUCAUACUGAUAAGAAUGUAGCAAAUAUGUUGACUAAGAGACUUCCUAAGAAAAAGCUUGAGCUUUGCAGUAACUUAACCGAAAUGAGUUCCCUGGCCAAGGUAAGUUUCAAAUAAAACUGCUAUGGUGAUGAAUCUCCUCCUAAUGGGGCUGAAGGGAGAGAUUAUUAGGAAAAUGGGGUCCAGCCUCAUGUAAGUGGUUUUGGACCAAGUAAAGGCCAUGGGCCUUGAUCUUUCAUUUUACAUAAAGCCCUAACUACUUAAUAAAAAAGAGGUUAGGUUAUUUUAAAUGGGUGUCGAAAACCAAGUAGAGAAAGAAGAAAAGCUAAAAAAAACAGAGAGAAAAAAAAGAAGGGAGAGUUGGUUGAACAGAAGUUGAUCCGUGGUCCGAUUGAGUUGGAACCUUGUCAAGAGGUUUAUGAUUCAGAGUUUUACAUUCUGAACAGUGAAGAUCGGAUUUGAAGCUCUCUAGGAAUAAAUUCAGAGUGUAUUUGUUGAGUCACUUAUUUGGUGAGAUUUCUUCAAUUGUUUCUCUAGUUGUUGUUUAGCUCUAGUUUUAGCUAGAGAAGAACUUUGUAUACCUAUUAUUUGAUAGUGAAGAUUUUUCUGGUGGUCCGUAAUUUUUUUCCUCUACACUAGAGGGUUUUCUACGUAAAUCUUAAUGUGCUUUAUUUUUUUGUGUUUUUUAUUAUUGAUUGUUUUCUAUUGCUUCUGUAUUAUUGUGAUUAUUGCUUCAGACGCAAUAAUUUUCAUGGCUUUUUGUUGGAGAAAAAACCAACAAUUAAAUGAUUGUUGUGUAUAGAGUUUUGUUUUCUCUUCUCUAUAGUUAGGGAGUUAAAGGGCUUAAGGUUCUUGGCAAUGGCAUUUGGCUGUGAAAAAUGAUCGAGUUUGGUUUUGGAUUGUUAACAUUGUCCUUCAUCGUUAUUUUGGUAUGUAAAAUUUAUAAUAAUGUAUUGGUGUCUCCAAAUUUGUCUUGUUUAGGGUUAACAAUGGAUCGAAUCAAGUCGAAUUUUUGUUCGCUCCAAACUUGAUCAGAAUUUAUAAUUAUAAAAUUCGAAUUCGAUUCGAUUUGAAAAAUUUUUUAUUUAUUUAUAUUCGAACCCGAUUCAACUCGAUGUUGUAUAAACCGUACUCAAUUCGAUUUGAUUCGAAAUUAUAAAAUAUUAUUUUUAAAUAUAAAAUAUAUUUUUUAAAUAUAAAUAUAUAAAUAUAUAAUUAAUUAAUUAAAAAUAAUUUUUAUAUAAUAUCGGAUCGGAUCAAAUUUAUCUAAAAUUUGAAUCUGAUCCGAUCUUUAUUUUUUUAAUAAUAAUAUCUAAUUCGAUCUGAAAUCUGAUUUUAAAAAAUAUAUAUUAACUUUAUGCGAUCGGAUUGAGUCGGAACCAUCGAAAGCAAAUUGGGCUGCCAACCCUAAUCUUGUUCUUACUUCCGAUGGAAAUUGCAUAAUAAAUUCGAAAUUAAAUGUCUUUUUUCUUAGAUAAAUGUUAAGAAAAUUUGAGUCUUUGACUAAGAAAAUCUAUUAAAUCUUAUAGAAACAUACACAUUUCACCUACAAAAGGGUUAGUUCAAUGAUGGUGAAAGAAAAAAAAAAUUUUUAUUCAGGUUCGAUUUGUGUGGAACAUUCGAGACCAAAAUUAUGAAUGUAAGAGGCCAUCAAGGGAAUGUGUAUUGUUAAAAUUUUUUAGUGAAAAAAAUUAUAUCCAAAUAAAGUUUAAAAAUACUCUAUUCAUAUUUUAAAAAAAUAUUUUUUUGAUAAAUUAUGCAUAAUCCUUAAAUUCAUAAUGAAUCACUUCAAUGACGGAUUCACAUGUAUAAAUAAAAUAUUUAUGGACAUUCAAAAAUUAAAAAAAAUUAAAUAUUUUUUAGCAAUAAAAUUAAUAAAUUUAUUGAUAGUUUUAUAUAUAUUAUAAUAAAUUAACAUAAAACACUUAAAGAUCCAUCUUAAAUAUUAUGUUUAAAUAACACAAUAAUAUUAUAUUAUUAUUAAAAUAAUAUAAUAUUAGUUAUUAUUGAAAUAUUAAAAAUAUUUUAUUUAAAUAAUAUAUAAAAUUAAAAUAUUAAAAACUUUUAAUGUUAAUAUUUUAAUUUUUUUAUUAAAACUAAAUAAAAUAUAUUUUAAUAUAAUAAUAUUUUAAAUGAAACAAAUCAAGAUCCAUCUUAAAUAUUAUGUUUAAAGAGUAAAUUUAUAAAAAUAUUUAAAAUUAAAAUAUUAAAAUAUUUUUAAUAUUAAUAUUUUAAAUUGUUAAAUAAAAUUAAAUAAAAAUUAUUAUUUAUUAAUAUAAUAAUAUUUUAGAUCAAAUUAAGUUUAAACUUAAAAUAAUUAUAUUCAAAAUUUGACUUUAUUAAAAUUAUACUCAAAUAUAUUAAUAAGUAAUUUUAUUCAUAAACAGCUUUUUUUAAAAUUAUAUUUUCCUACUCAGAAUGAUAAGAUAAUUUUAUAAAAAAAUAUCUUAAUUUUCAUUGAUGAAUAAAUCAUUUUUUAUUAAUUAAUCAAAAUUUUGACAAAUAAACAUAUAAAAAUAAAAAUAUAAUUUUCGAUUUUUUUUUUAAACAGACGGAGUUUGUCUAUUUCUUUACUAUUAUUGUCUCCAUUGUAGGAUGUACAGUUAAAGCAUUUAUUUUAUUAUAAUACCACUACACCAUAGUACUACUUGAAACCAUUGGCUUUUUCCUUUUGUUUAGGCAAUACCAUCUCUGGUUUUUUCCCAACGCUUUCCUCUAUAUAAGAAACUCUCACCCGCUUACAAAUUCGCUUCAACAAAGCAAAAUACAGGCAGAAACUAGUCUUUGAAUCCCAAAAUAUCCCAUUUCCACUUUCAUUUCCAUCACCUCUCAAAAGCGUUGAAAAAAGAAAAAUAUGAGUUCUUCAACAAGAGCUUGGAUGGCAGCUGCUAGCAUUGGAGCUGUUGAGGCCUUAAAAGAUCAAGGAAUUUGUAGAUGGAAUUAUGGUCUAAGGUCAAUUCAACAGCAUGUCAAGAACAAUAUCAGAUCAUCUUCUCAAGCUAAGAAAGUUUCUGUUCCAUCUUCUUCUGCUUUGGCUAAGAAACUGAGGGAAGAUGAUAAGUUGAAGAAGUCAGAGGAAGCACUUAGAACUGUCAUGUAUUUGAGCUGUUGGGGUCCAAAUUAAGCUACCCCUUCGUUUUUUGUACAUAUGUA
Molecule: long non-coding RNA, 12259 nt
Filed under: Durio zibethinus
Lineage: Eukaryota; Viridiplantae; Streptophyta; Magnoliopsida; Malvales; Malvaceae
Description: long non-coding RNA (DZIB_LNC001306)
Source: RNAcentral